RNAcentral lists this ribosomal RNA (231 nucleotides) under uncultured bacterium. Its description in RNAcentral is "partial 16S ribosomal RNA". It matches the Rfam family "Bacterial small subunit ribosomal RNA", at positions 15 to 237 of the family's 1533-position model. The record is from RNAcentral.
GAUCCUGCUCAGGAUGAACGCUAGCGACAGGCUUAACACAUGCAAGUCGAGGGGCAGCAUGAUAAGUAGCAAUACUUAUUGAUGGCGACCGGCGCACGGGUGAGUAACGCGUAUGCAACUUACCUAUCAGAGGGGGAUAGCCCGGCGAAAGUCGGAUUAAUACUCCAUAAAACAGGGGUUCCGCAUGGGACUAUUUGUUAAAGAUUCAUCGCUGAUAGAUAGGCAUGCGUU